UACAGAGGUCCCGAGCGUUGUUCGGAUUCACUGGGCGUAAAGGGUGCGUAGGUGGCCGGUUAAGUCUGACGUGAAAUCUCCGAGCCUAACUCGGAAACUGCAUCGGAAACUAUCCGGCUCGAGGGUUGGAGGGGGGACUGGAAUACUUGGUGUAGCAGUGAAAUGCGUAGAUAUCAAGUGGAACACCAGUGGCGAAGGCGAGUCCCUGGACAACUCCUGACACUGAGGCACGAAAGCUAGGGGAGCAAACAGG
This 253-nucleotide ribosomal RNA is filed under the name uncultured bacterium. RNAcentral's name for it is "partial 16S ribosomal RNA". It matches the Rfam family "Bacterial small subunit ribosomal RNA", at positions 524 to 776 of the family's 1533-position model. The record is from RNAcentral.